UAGAGAUUAAGUAGAACUUACUAAGCUAAGUAUCAGUUAUCACCCUACCCUUCUAAAGUUGGUUAUAUCACAAAAUAGGCAUAAAAUGAAACUAAUUGUAAAAAUAAAAUUGAGCAAAGCAUCAAAUAUGACAUGAAUUAAAAUGUAAUUCUAAACUAAGGAUUAAAAAUAGCAAGUAAAAGUUGAAACAAAAGUAGUAAGUAAAGUAAUAUAAUCAAAUUAACUAACAUAACUAACAU
RNAcentral lists this long non-coding RNA (239 nucleotides) under Durio zibethinus. RNAcentral describes it as "long non-coding RNA (DZIB_LNC001848)". Lineage: Eukaryota; Viridiplantae; Streptophyta; Magnoliopsida; Malvales; Malvaceae. The record is from RNAcentral.